RNAcentral lists this ribosomal RNA (741 nucleotides) under Alcaligenes faecalis. Its description in RNAcentral is "bacterial SSU rRNA". It matches the Rfam family "Bacterial small subunit ribosomal RNA", at positions 30 to 760 of the family's 1533-position model. Lineage: Bacteria; Pseudomonadati; Pseudomonadota; Betaproteobacteria; Burkholderiales; Alcaligenaceae. The record is from RNAcentral.
UGAACGCUAGCGGGAUGCUUUACACAUGCAAGUCGAACGGCAGCGCGAGAGAGCUUGCUCUCUUGGCGGCGAGUGGCGGACGGGUGAGUAAUAUAUCGGAACGUGCCCAGUAGCGGGGGAUAACUACUCGAAAGAGUGGCUAAUACCGCAUACGCCCUACGGGGGAAAGGGGGGGAUCGCAAGACCUCUCACUAUUGGAGCGGCCGAUAUCGGAUUAGCUAGUUGGUGGGGUAAAGGCUCACCAAGGCAACGAUCCGUAGCUGGUUUGAGAGGACGACCAGCCACACUGGGACUGAGACACGGCCCAGACUCCUACGGGAGGCAGCAGUGGGGAAUUUUGGACAAUGGGGGAAACCCUGAUCCAGCCAUCCCGCGUGUAUGAUGAAGGCCUUCGGGUUGUAAAGUACUUUUGGCAGAGAAGAAAAGGUAUCCCCUAAUACGGGAUACUGCUGACGGUAUCUGCAGAAUAAGCACCGGCUAACUACGUGCCAGCAGCCGCGGUAAUACGUAGGGUGCAAGCGUUAAUCGGAAUUACUGGGCGUAAAGCGUGUGUAGGCGGUUCGGAAAGAAAGAUGUGAAAUCCCAGGGCUCAACCUUGGAACUGCAUUUUUAACUGCCGAGCUAGAGUAUGUCAGAGGGGGGUAGAAUUCCACGUGUAGCAGUGAAAUGCGUAGAUAUGUGGAGGAAUACCGAUGGCGAAGGCAGCCCCCUGGGAUAAUACUGACGCUCAGACACGAAAGC